GGACUACCAGGGUUUCUAAUCCUGUUUGCUCCCCACGCUUUCGCGCCUCAGCGUCAGUAACGAGCCAGAAAGCCGCCUUCGCCUCUGAUGUUCCUCCUAAUAUCUACGAAUUUCACCUCUACACUAGGAAUUCCGCUUUCCUCUCUCGUCCUCUAGUCAUACCGUUUCAGGCGCUAUUCCCAGGUUAAGCCUGGGGCUUUCACGCUUGACUAAUAUGACCGCCUACGCGCCCUUUACGCCCAGUCAUUCCGAACAACGCUAGCACCCUCUGUCUUACCGCGGCUGCUGGCAC
Molecule: ribosomal RNA, 292 nt
Filed under: uncultured bacterium
Lineage: Bacteria
Description: partial 16S ribosomal RNA
Source: RNAcentral